ACGAUGGAACUUUCUGUUUUGAAGAAAACAAGAAGAAAAGUUAAUAGACUGUCACAUAGAUUUACACUUAUGCAGUGCAGCGAUUCCAUUGCAUUCGAUGGACACUUUACCAUCCCAAGAGGCCACGGGACAGGAUUUAUGAACAGCAGUGAAGUGACGCAACUGACGCCAAGUAGUAACGUGGGAUGCAGGCAAGUCAGCAUGAACUGCAGCGCUAAUAGAGUCUCAUGAAUGUGCAGAUGUGCACAGAAGACCAAUGGCCAAGGUUGAUUCUGGUCUCUAUCCGCUGCCAUUAUAUGGACAAGCACAAGCAAGACAUAUUUUUAAAUUUCUCCUUUUGUGGUCCGAAAAAGAAAGAAUGGCACAGAACAACACCAUGG
Molecule: long non-coding RNA, 380 nt
Organism: Ctenopharyngodon idella (grass carp)
Lineage: Eukaryota; Metazoa; Chordata; Actinopteri; Cypriniformes; Xenocyprididae
Exons: 3
Source: RefSeq, a predicted model, not a curated record